CCAUGCAAGUCGAACGAUGAAGCCCAGCUUGCUGGGUGGAUUAGUGGCGAACGGGUGAGUAACACGUGAGUAACCUGCCCUUGACUCUGGGAUAAGCGCUGGAAACGGCGUCUAAUACCGGAUAUGACAACCGACGGCAUCGUCUGGUUGUGGAAAGAACUUUGGUCAAGGAUGGACUCGCGGCCUAUCAGCUUGUUGGUGAGGUAAUGGCUCACCAAGGCGACGACGGGUAGCCGGCCUGAGAGGGUGACCGGCCACACUGGGACUGAGACACGGCCCAGACUCCUACGGGAGGCAGCAGUGGGGAAUAUUGCACAAUGGGCGAAAGCCUGAUGCAGCAACGCCGCGUGAGGGACGACGGCCUUCGGGUUGUAAACCUCUUUUAGCAGGGAAGAAGCGAAAGUGACGGUACCUGCAGAAAAAGCACCGGCUAACUACGUGCCAGCAGCCGCGGUAAUACGUAGGGUGCAAGCGUUGUCCGGAAUUAUUGGGCGUAAAGAGCUCGUAGGCGGUUUGUCGCGUCUGCUGUGAAAUCCCGAGGCUCAACCUCGGGUCUGCAGUGGGUACGGGCAGACUAGAGUGCGGUAGGGGAGAUUGGAAUUCCUGGUGUAGCGGUGAAAUGCGUAGA
Molecule: ribosomal RNA, 628 nt
Filed under: Okibacterium sp.
Lineage: Bacteria; Bacillati; Actinomycetota; Actinomycetes; Micrococcales; Microbacteriaceae
Description: bacterial SSU rRNA
Rfam family: Bacterial small subunit ribosomal RNA
Source: RNAcentral